Molecule: long non-coding RNA, 2568 nt
Organism: Octopus sinensis (East Asian common octopus)
Lineage: Eukaryota; Metazoa; Mollusca; Cephalopoda; Octopoda; Octopodidae
Exons: 2
Source: RefSeq, a predicted model, not a curated record
AGUUUCAUAACACGGCUAAUAACAGCAGACUUCACAACAGACUGGCAUUUUCUUGGAAAUGGAAUUACUGUAGGUUGUACAAUGUCCGUCAUUUAGUUUGUGCUUUUUAUGGAUAAGUUACAUUGAUCAGUAGAUUGAUCCGAAUGGCAAUCGCAUAAGAAGGCCUUAACGAAUGACAUAACCAAGCUAAAAACAGACGAAAAGGAUAUGCAAUUACUUGUGGACUGGCUAGGUACUUGGUGAGUAAAGGGGUUUCAAGCAAAUAAAUAAUUCAGUCUGCCAUUUAUGAAAGAUCCCCUGAAGCAAGUGAAGUUCCAAUUUGCAGAAGAAUCCAUGCCAAAUGUUAAAGACUGUCCUGUAAAAUGUUUAGGACGAUGUUAAGCUAUGUUGUUGAGUGAGAGUAGAGGCAUUCAGAUGAUGGCACAAACUGAGGAUUGGUUACAAGCAAUAGAUAAGACAAAGCUUGUGGGCAAAUACAAGAUCUGGGGAUUGCUGCUUGGUGUCUAUCCCGAUCGUCUUUAUGUUUGUUUGAGUCUCGCUUCCUGUGUAGCAUUUAAAGUAUUUUCAGUGCAAUAAUGCGGGUAGGGAGAGGGAUGUGUAGUUGAUGAAGUUUUGUGCAAUUAUACUGAAGCAUUUUUGGGAUACCUGUCAUCAUCCCCUGCUCCACCUGGGUAGAGUCAUUAAGGAAGAUGAAAGACAUCCAAAUAUUUCUUGCUUCAGAGGACAUAGUCUUGACCUGUGAUGUGGGACAGUUAAAAUAAAAGAUUGCAGGCAGCAACCUUCAACAAAGAGAUCAGGUGUAUGUUUUGUCUUAUUUCAAGAGGUGUGUCAUGAUAUUGUGGCUAGAUCUUUGGAGGACCGACUUGAUUGACAUUCGAAUUAAGCUGCAAAUUAGAAGAAUGUCGGUUACGGAAUUCUAGAAGUUAGAGUAGAAAUACUUGUCAUUGAUUUUGUACAGGUACAAGACUAGAAAAAGAAAACUAGAAUAGUAUUUUCAUCUGGUAGUGAUAAAGAAGAUAAUUGCUAUAUUGUUAGGAUUAUGUAGAAUAUCUUACUUGAGAGAAGAGGUUUAGGAAGGUUAGUCUAUUCUGUGGUGGUUCUACUGUAGAAAAUAUAAAAAUAGUGUCAAAAAACACAUUGGUCACCAGUUGACCAUUGAUCACAGGAAUAUCUCACAAUAAUAAAAUACUAGCUGGACUUGUAAAAAACUCACGGAAAGUGUGCUGGUGCCGUGAGAAAUGUUUCUAAAAUGUGACAGUUAUAGAAUACAGAAAGAAUUGUAAAACUGGUGACCAGUAAUGAAAUCACAAGAAAAAAGUCACAGUAAUAAAGUCAAAAUCUUGGCUAGGUAAAAGAGUCACCAUUUAUGGGACCCAGACAAAACCUCCCUAGGACAAAACCCCCUCAGACAACCCUUUCAUUUCCCUUUGCAUUGCAAAUAUCAUUUGGAAAGGCAUGAACAUCACAAUAUUGCAUUUCUCAUUUGAAAUCCUUUCAUUCCUCUCUACAUAACAAAUAUCAACUGAUUCAGAGGACAUAGUGGUGGCCUGUGAAUUGGGACAGUUAAAAUUCAAGAUUACCCUCUAGUUAAACAUUUACUAAGGUGAGAUGUUUCUACCAGGAACGUAGAGCAGUGCUUGGGGCUAGAUUUGAACUGUUGACCUGUGACACAGGGGUCUACAUAAUAUCCUCUCGGUCAGUCGUUAGAAAUGAUGUAUCUAAAUUGAGAGAAGACAUCAUCCUAAUUCCCAAUUGAAAGAUUAGCUGUAUAAUAAUUCUAUUAAACAUAUUGAUAUUCCUGAAAUUCCAGAAAAUAUCCAGCGUGGUUAGCAUGGCUUAUAAAAUGGACAAUUCAGAAGACAAUAGAGUUAAUAUUAGUAUAUUAGAAAGUAUAAAAAUAUUGACCAAGCCAUAAUGGUCACCAGUUGACCAUUGUUGAUAGAAAUGCCUGUUAAACCCUAGAUUAUUUAUAGAAAUAAAGAAAUUUUACUAUAAAUUAUAAACUUUGGAAAUAUUUAUUUCAGAGAGGGUAAUGCUGACGGAGAUGCAUCUUCACAGAGUGGCUAAGAAAUUAGGAGGUAAAUGGAUGGAACUGGGAAGGCAAUUAGGAGUUAGACAAGUUGAACUAGAGAUGAUCAGGUAUGACUAUCCCUACAACACAGAAGAACAGAGCUUUCAGAUGCUCCUCAGAUGGUAUAGGUGUUGUGAUCCAAUGAAACGUACAUUGGAAACACUCAGAGAAGCACUUGAGAGAUGUGAGUGCUAUGAAGCCCUCAUGUGUCUAAUUGAAAUAGAGUGAAUUUCUGCAUAAAUGUUGUUGCUUAGUCCCAGGUCAGAAAUUUAUGAUCAAAUGCAUUCCGGCCAUGACCACCCUAACUUUAUUCUUAAUGUACAGGAGCCACACACACAUUGUCCAGCGUAUUCUUCUUUAAGGGGAUAAGUAUGAAUUGUGGUCGAUUUGGCUACUACUUCUAGCAGAUCUAUCUAUCACAAAGAAAUCCCUUUGCUGGUUUGUCUCCCCUGUUGUUAGAGAUUAACUUUUGAAAUAAAGAUAAACUUUCAACUGUU